Molecule: ribosomal RNA, 1374 nt
Filed under: uncultured bacterium
Lineage: Bacteria
Description: 16S ribosomal RNA
Rfam family: Bacterial small subunit ribosomal RNA
Source: RNAcentral
AGAGUUUUAUCCUGGCUCAGAACGAACGCUGGCGGCGUGGAUAAGACAUGCAAGUCGAACGAGAGAAUUGCUAGCUUGCUAAUAAUUCUCUAGUGGCGCACGGGUGAGUAACACGUGAGUAACCUGCCCCCGAGAGCGGGAUAGCCCUGGGAAACUGGGAUUAAUACCGCAUAGUAUCGAAAGAUUAAAGCAGCAAUGCGCUUGGGGAUGGGCUCGCGGCCUAUUAGUUAGUUGGUGAGGUAACGGCUCACCAAGGCGAUGACGGGUAGCCGGUCUGAGAGGAUGUCCGGCCACACUGGAACUGAGACACGGUCCAGACACCUACGGGUGGCAGCAGUCGAGAAUCAUUCACAAUGGGGGAAACCCUGAUGGUGCGACGCCGCGUGGGGGAAUGAAGGUCUUCGGAUUGUAAACCCCUGUCAUGUGGGAGCAAAUUAAAAAGAUAGUACCACAAGAGGAAGAGACGGCUAACUCUGUGCCAGCAGCCGCGGUAAUACAGAGGUCUCAAGCGUUGUUCGGAAUCACUGGGCGUAAAGCGUGCGUAGGCUGUUUCGUAAGUCGUGUGUGAAAGGCGCGGGCUCAACCCGCGGACGGCACAUGAUACUGCGAGACUAGAGUAAUGGAGGGGGAACCGGAAUUCUCGGUGUAGCAGUGAAAUGCGUAGAUAUCGAGAGGAACACUCGUGGCGAAGGCGGGUUCCUGGACAUUAACUGACGCUGAGGCACGAAGGCCAGGGGAGCGAAAGGGAUUAGAUACCCCUGUAGUCCUGGCAGUAAACGGUGCACGCUUGGUGUGCGGGGAAUCGACCCCGUGCGUGCCGGAGCUAACGCGUUAACCGUGCCGCCAGGGGAGUACGGUGGACAAGAUUAAAACUCAAAGGAAAUUGUCGGGGACCCGCACAAGCGGUGGAGUAUGUGGCUUAAUUCGAUGCAACGCGAAGAACCUUACCUGGGCUUGACAUGUAAUGAACAACAUGUGAAAGCAUGCGACUCUUCGGAGGCGUUACACAGGUGCUGCAUGGCCGUUGUCAGCUCGUGUCGUGAGAUGUUUGGUUAAGUCCAGCAACGAGCGCAACCCCUGUUGCCAGUUACCAGCACGUGAAGGUGGGGACUCUGGCGAGACUGCCCAGAUCAACUGGGAGGAAGGUGGGGACGACGUCAGGUCAGUAUGGCCCUUAUGCCCAGGGCUGCACACGUACUACAAUGCCCAGUACAGAGGGGGCCGAAGCCGCGAGGCGGAGGAAAUCCUAAAAACUGGGCCCAGUUCGGACUGUAGGCUGCAACCCGCCUACACGAAGCCGGAAUCGCUAGUAAUGGCGCAUCAGCUACGGCGCCGUGAAUACGUUACACCGGGUCUUGCACACACCGCCCGUCA